AUGAGUUGCAUCAGCUGGAACUGUCGGGGGCUUGGCAACCCCGAUGCAAUUCGGGAGCUUCGCAGUAUUGUGAAGUUGGAAGGACCCGCUCUUCUCUUUGUAAUGGAAACGAAACUAAGAGCUAAAAGAGUAGAAGAUUUGCAGAGUAAUUUAGGCUUUGCUGCUUGUUUUGCAGUAGACGGUGCUGGCCUUAGUGGCGGCAUUGGUCUGUUUUGGUCCCGAGAUGUGUCUGUUGAACUUAAAAAUUAUAGUCAACGUCAUAUCAAUAUUUUGGUUACUAAUAAACUUCUGAAUUCUCCACCUUGGGGAUUCAUGGGUUUCUACGGAGCACCGCGUGCUGAAGAUAGGCAUCACAAUUGGCAUUUUUUGCGUUCUCUCCAUUCUAUUCCACAUGGUGCAUGGUUGUGCAUGGGGGAUUUCAAUGAGACUCUAUACUCAAAUGAGCAUAUUAGUCGGGCUGCUCGUCCGGAGCGACAAAUACAAGCUUUCAGAGAGGUUACAAAUGAUAUUUCCUUCCAGGACCUGGGUAUGUCAGGUACGGCUUAUACAUGGGAUAACCGUCAAUCUGGAAUGGACAAUGUAAAAGCAUGGUUGGACCGAGCCUUUGCAAAUGAAAAUUUCCGACAACAGUUCCAACAUAUUAGGGUGAGGUAUCUGUCUUCCUUCGGUGGAGUCGGACCACUACUUUGUUGUUGCGGAAAUUAA
RNAcentral lists this ribosomal RNA (705 nucleotides) under Triticum aestivum (bread wheat). RNAcentral's name for it is "partial small subunit ribosomal RNA". Lineage: Eukaryota; Viridiplantae; Streptophyta; Magnoliopsida; Poales; Poaceae. The record is from RNAcentral.